RNAcentral lists this ribosomal RNA (253 nucleotides) under uncultured bacterium. RNAcentral describes it as "partial 16S ribosomal RNA". It matches the Rfam family "Bacterial small subunit ribosomal RNA", at positions 524 to 776 of the family's 1533-position model. The record is from RNAcentral.
GACGGAGGAUGCAAGCGUUAUCCGGAAUGAUUGGGCGUAAAGCGUCCGCAGGUGGCAGUUCAAGUCUGCUGUCAAAGACCGGGGCUUAACUUCGGAAAGGCAGUGGAAACUGAACAGCUAGAGUAUGGUAGGGGCAGAGGGAAUUCCUGGUGUAGCGGUGAAAUGCGUAGAGAUCAGGAAGAACAUCGGUGGCGAAGGCGCUCUGCUGGACCAUAACUGACACUCAGGGACGCAAUCUAGGGGAGCGAAUGGG